UGCAAAGGCCAUAUCUUGAGAACACCCAAUCUCGUCUGAUCUCAGAAGCUAAGCAAGGUUGGGCCUGGUUAGUACUUGGAUGGGAGAACGCUUGGUAGAACAGGCGCUGCAG
This 112-nucleotide ribosomal RNA is filed under the name Periophthalmus magnuspinnatus. The record is from RNAcentral. Lineage: Eukaryota; Metazoa; Chordata; Actinopteri; Gobiiformes; Gobiidae.